Molecule: non-coding RNA, 1534 nt
Organism: Oncorhynchus mykiss (rainbow trout)
Lineage: Eukaryota; Metazoa; Chordata; Actinopteri; Salmoniformes; Salmonidae
Source: RefSeq, a predicted model, not a curated record
UAUGUAUUUAUUUAUUUAUUUGAAUUUUAUUUUUUGGGGGGUUACACCUCUUGGGGUGUAGUCCGCCAUAAAACCCACAGAGGAAAAAAGAACAACAACAAGGUCCCGGAUAGCACGUAUCUUUUAAAACAAUAUGUGUGUUUCUUUCAAAGUAGUUCUAUAAUCUGUCAUUUGUUGUACCCCCUAGCAUAUGUUAUCAUUGUCUAUUUGUAUACUUCUUGUACAUAUACAGAUUAUUCUACAUUAUAAAAAAUAGCACUAGUCCUGAGCCUCCAGUAUCCCAUACUGCAUUGCGAGUGUGUUUGCAUUUUACAUUCAGCGGCGCUACUGUUUUUGUUGGCAGGGCAUUUUUUCUUUUAGGAAUUAUCAGCUUAUUUUUUUAAAUAACGAAUCUUAGUUUUAAGUACAUCACACGCAAACAUGGAGAUCGGCACAGAAAUAAGCAAGAAAAUACGGGCUGCUAUCAAGGGGAAACUUCAAGAACUCGGUGCCUAUGUUGAUGAAGAGUUACCAGACUAUAUCGUGGUGAUGGUGGCCGACAAGAAGACUUCACAGCAGAUGUCUGACGACCUGGCCCUCUUCCUUGGAAACAAUACCAUCAAGUUUACAGUCUGGUUACACGGAGUCCUGGAGAAGCUGAGCUCUGUGGCAGUAGGUAUGUUCAGGUUACACGGAGUCCCUGAGAAGCUAAGCUCUGUGGCAGUAGGUAUGUUCAGGUUACAUGGAGUCCUGGAGAAGCUGACCUCUGUGGCAUUAGGUCUGUGGCAUUAGGUCUGUGGCAUUAGGUCUGUGGCAGUAGGUCUGUGGCAGUAGGUAUGUUCAGGUUCACCGGAGUCCUGGAGAAGCUGAGCUCUGUGGCAGUAGAGUCGAUGAGGCCUCCGCUCUACUCUGAAGCUGUGGCAUCUCAGCUGCAAAGAGUGAGGGGUCGAAGGGGCUUGUGGUGUCCAGCUCUCGCUCUCUGAUAGGACAGAGGCCCGCGUGUCCAUCUCCGCCCAUGAGCACAGGUUGAUUUAUGAGACAUGGAUUAAAUGUUGAACAUAUCACUGUUCUAGUUGGCUUUGGUAAUGUGGAAGAGCCCUAACCCUUUUUUUUUUUUUUUUAAAUCAAGGGGUGUGAACACUUUCUGAAGGCCCUGUACCUAGUAUUACCUACACAGAGGACAAACUCUAAAUGGGUUUUACCACCCAUUUUAAAAUGACCUAUCAUUUUCAUGUCCGGGUUUGUCUAGAGUUAAUGCACGAAUAUGUUAUUUUGCAUUUUGAUAAUUUUCUCGUUCUACUCAACAUUAUUUUUUUUUACUGGAACUUUUUGUUUAAGUCGAAGUGACGUCUUUCGUGACUGAUCACCAAACUGUGUUCUGGUUUGUCCUAAUGCAGUGCUUUUGUUUUUCUAGCUAGACGACAAGAGACGAGCAGCCCACAAAGAUCUCCGCCACGGCACAACCCAGACAGGAAGACCACGUCAGUGACUCAACCCACUCAAGUGACACACCCCUCCUAGGGACGGCAUGGAAGAGCACCAGUAAGCCAGUGAC